ACGGGUGAGUAAUACAUCGGAACGUGCCCGAUCGUGGGGGAUAACGGAGCGAAAGCUUUGCUAAUACCGCAUACGAUCUACGGAUGAAAGCAGGGGACCGCAAGGCCUUGCGCGGACGGAGCGGCCGAUGGCAGAUUAGGUAGUUGGUGGGAUAAAAGCUUACCAAGCCGACGAUCUGUAGCUGGUCUGAGAGGACGACCAGCCACACUGGGACUGAGACACGGCCCAGACUCCUACGGGAGGCAGCAGUGGGGAAUUUUGGACAAUGGGCGAAAGCCUGAUCCAGCCAUGCCGCGUGCAGGAUGAAGGCCUUCGGGUUGUAAACUGCUUUUGUACGGAACGAAAAGACUCCUUCUAAUAAAGGGGGUCCAUGACGGUACCGUAAGAAUAAGCACCGGCUAACUACGUGCCAGCAGCCGCGGUAAUACGUAGGGUGCAAGCGUUAAUCGGAAUUACUGGGCGUAAAGCGUGCGCAGGCGGUUAUGUAAGACAGAUGUGAAAUCCCCGGGCUCAACCUGGGAACUGCAUUUGUGACUGCAUAGCUAGAGUACGGUAGAGGGGGAUGGAAUUCCGCGUGUAGCAGUG
Molecule: ribosomal RNA, 585 nt
Filed under: uncultured Acidovorax sp.
Lineage: Bacteria; Pseudomonadati; Pseudomonadota; Betaproteobacteria; Burkholderiales; Comamonadaceae
Description: bacterial SSU rRNA
Rfam family: Bacterial small subunit ribosomal RNA
Source: RNAcentral